Molecule: ribosomal RNA, 232 nt
Filed under: uncultured bacterium
Lineage: Bacteria
Description: partial 16S ribosomal RNA
Rfam family: Bacterial small subunit ribosomal RNA
Source: RNAcentral
AACCUACAGAAAGCCAAUCUCAGUUCGGAUUGUAGGCUGCAACUCGCCUGCACGAAGUCGGAAUUGCUAGUAAUCGUAGGUCAGCAUACUACGGUGAAUACGUUCCCGGGCCUUGUACACACCGCCCGUCAAACCAUGAGAGUUGGCAACACCCGAAGUCGGUAGUCUAACCGCAAGGAGGACGCCGCCGAAGGUGGGGUUGAUGAUUAGGGUUAAGUCGUAACAAGGUAUC